UGGGGAAUAUUGCACAAUGGGGGAAACCCUGAUGCAGCGACGCCGCGUGAACGAAGAAGGUAUUCGUAUCGUAAAGUUCUGUCCUAUGGGAAGAUAAUGACAGUACCAUAGAAGAAAGCUCCGGCUAAAUACGUGCCAGCAGCCGCGGUAAUACGUAUGGAGCGAGCGUUGUCCGGAAUUAUUGGGCGUAAAGGGUACGCAGGCGGUUAAUAAGUCGAAUGUUAAAGAUCGGGGCUCAACCCCGCAAAGCAUUGGAAACUGAUAAACUUGAGUAGUGGAGAGGAAAGUGGAAUUCCUAGUGUAGUGGUGAAAUACGUAGAUAUUAGGAGGAAUACCAGUAGCGAAGGCGACUUUCUGGACACAAACUGACGCUGAGGUACGAAAGCGUGGGGAGCAAACAGG
RNAcentral lists this ribosomal RNA (402 nucleotides) under bacterium. Its description in RNAcentral is "partial 16S ribosomal RNA". It matches the Rfam family "Bacterial small subunit ribosomal RNA", at positions 355 to 776 of the family's 1533-position model. The record is from RNAcentral.